CUGCCCAGUGCCGGAAGGUGAAGGAUGAUGGUGACCUCAUGACAGGGGGGCUGGGCGAAGCCUCGGUGAACGCGGCGUAACUAUAACGGUUCGAAGAUAGCAAAAUUUCUUGUCGUGUAAGUUCUGGCCCGCACAAGAG
Molecule: non-coding RNA, 139 nt
Filed under: Populus trichocarpa (black cottonwood)
Lineage: Eukaryota; Viridiplantae; Streptophyta; Magnoliopsida; Malpighiales; Salicaceae
Description: Bacterial large subunit ribosomal RNA
Rfam family: Bacterial large subunit ribosomal RNA
Source: Rfam by way of RNAcentral